UUGUGAGGUUAAGCGACUAAGCGUACACGGUGGAUGCCCUGGCAGUCAGAGGCGAUGAAGGACGUGCUAAUCUGCGAUAAGCGUCGGUGAGGUGAUAUGAACCGUUAUAACCGGCGAUUUCCGAAUGGGGAAACCCAGUGUGUUUCGACACACUAUCAUUAACUGAAUCCAUAGGUUAAUGAGGCGAACCGGGGGAACUGAAACAUCUAAGUACCCCGAGGAAAAGAAAUCAACCGAGAUUCCCCCAGUAGCGGCGAGCGAACGGGGAGGAGCCCAGAGCCUGAAUCAGUGUGUGUGUUAGUGGAAGCGUCUGGAAAGGCGCGCGAUACAGGGUGACAGCCCCGUACACAAAAAUGCACAUAUUGUGAGCUCGAUGAGUAGGGCGGGACACGUGGUAUCCUGUCUGAAUAUGGGGGGACCAUCCUCCAAGGCUAAAUACUCCUGACUGACCGAUAGUGAACCAGUACCGUGAGGGAAAGGCGAAAAGAACCCCGGCGAGGGGAGUGAAAAAGAACCUGAAACCGUGUACGUACAAGCAGUGGGAGCCUCUUAAUGGGGUGACUGCGUACCUUUUGUAUAAUGGGUCAGCGACUUAUAUUCUGUAGCAAGGUUAACCGAAUAGGGGAGCCGGAGGGAAACCGAGUCUUAACUGGGCGUUAAGUUGCAGGGUAUAGACCCGAAACCCGGUGAUCUAGCCAUGGGCAGGUUGAAGG
This 713-nucleotide ribosomal RNA is filed under the name Escherichia coli. RNAcentral's name for it is "partial 23S ribosomal RNA". It matches the Rfam family "Bacterial large subunit ribosomal RNA", at positions 1 to 751 of the family's 2925-position model. Lineage: Bacteria; Pseudomonadati; Pseudomonadota; Gammaproteobacteria; Enterobacterales; Enterobacteriaceae. The record is from RNAcentral.